CAUUCUCGAGCUCAGAUGAGUUUUUGUCCUCCCUUGGUCGUUUUCAUGUUUUUCUUCAUUUCCUUCUUGUCUUUAUGAGUUUCUUGGUUGUUUUGAAGAGUUUUCAAGCUUAGAUCUAAGUUUUGGGAGCUUGGAGACCCAAGGAGUAGUUUCCUCCCAUCUCCAAGUUAGGGAUCACACCAACCCUCGAUCUCCAAGAGGUAAGUGUAGAUCUUUGCUUUCCUUUAUGUUUUAAUGAAGUUUUAAGAGGUUUUAAUGGUUGAGUAUGGGUAGAUAUGCAUGUUUAGGUUUAUGUGGGUUUUAUGCCCAAUGUAUGCUUAUGCCUGUUUAUGUAUGUUUAUGUGAUGUUAUGAUGAAGGUUUAAGCUAGUUUAUGCAUGUGGGAGAGUGUAUGCAUGAUUGGGAGAGAGCAACUGAGGUUUUGAGUAGUUU
This 431-nucleotide long non-coding RNA is filed under the name Manihot esculenta (cassava). RNAcentral describes it as "long non-coding RNA (MESC_LNC006492)". Lineage: Eukaryota; Viridiplantae; Streptophyta; Magnoliopsida; Malpighiales; Euphorbiaceae. The record is from RNAcentral.